CUUCACGCCACCAUGUAGAGGAAUGCUACAUAGAUGUAACAUUUUGAGAAGAUCAAGUUGCUGACUAAAGAGAAUGUCGAGCUGACUAAAGAGAAGGUCGAGCUGAGGACACAGCUGGCUCUACAAUCAGGAGCAAUUAGGAAGAAUCCUUCCAACCAGGAUGCCACUG
Long non-coding RNA from Esox lucius (northern pike), 169 nucleotides. RefSeq lists it as uncharacterized. The record is from RefSeq and is a predicted model, not a curated record. The transcript is spliced from 3 exons. Lineage: Eukaryota; Metazoa; Chordata; Actinopteri; Esociformes; Esocidae.